GUGCCAGCCGCCGCGGUAAUACCGGCAGCCCGCGUGAUGGCCGAUUUUAUUGGGCCUAAAGCGUCCGUAGCCGGCUGGACAAGUCCGUCGGGAAAUCCACGUGCUCAACGCGUGGGCGUCCGGCGGAAACCACUCGGCUUGGGGCCGGAGGACUCGAGGGGUACGUCUGGGGUAGGAGUGAAAUCCCGUAAUCCUGGACGGACCGCCGAUGGCGAAAGCACCUCGAGAGGACGGACCCGACAGUGAGGGACGAAAGCCAGGGUCUCGAACCGGAUUAGAUACCCUAGUAGUCC
RNAcentral lists this ribosomal RNA (293 nucleotides) under uncultured bacterium. RNAcentral's name for it is "partial 16S ribosomal RNA". It matches the Rfam family "Archaeal small subunit ribosomal RNA", at positions 455 to 747 of the family's 1478-position model. The record is from RNAcentral.